Molecule: ribosomal RNA, 253 nt
Filed under: uncultured bacterium
Lineage: Bacteria
Description: partial 16S ribosomal RNA
Rfam family: Bacterial small subunit ribosomal RNA
Source: RNAcentral
UACGUAGGGCGCAAGCGUUGUCCGGAAUUAUUGGGCGUAAAGAGCUCGUAGGCGGCUUGUCACGUCGGGUGUGAAAGCCCGGGGCUUAACCCCGGGUCUGCAUUCGAUACGGGCAGGCUAGAGUGUGGUAGGGGAGAUCGGAAUUCCUGGUGUAGCGGUGAAAUGCGCAGAUAUCAGGAGGAACACCGGAGGCGAAGGCGGUCCACUGGGUCCUUUCUGACGCUGAGGGACGAAAGCUAGGGGAGCGAACGGG